ACGGCUCAGUAACACGUCGGUAACCUACCCUCGGGAGGGGGAUAACCCCGGGAAACUGGGGCUAAUUCCCCAUAGGCCUGAGGUACUGGAAGGUCCUCAGGCCGAAAGGGACUUAUGUCCGCCCGAGGAUGGGCCGGCGGCCGAUUAGGUAGUUGGUGGGGUAAUGGCCCACCAAGCCGAAGAUCGGUACGGGCUGUGAGAGCAGGAGCCCGGAGAUGGACACUGAGACACGGGUCCAGGCCCUACGGGGCGCAGCAGGCGCGAAACCUCCGCAAUGCGGGAAACCGCGACGGGGGGACCCCGAGUGCCGUGGCAACGCCACGGCUUUUCCGGAGUGUAAAAAGCUCCGGGAAUAAGGGCUGGGCAAGGCCGGUGGCAGCCGCCGCGGUAAUACCGGCGGCCCGAGUGGUGGCCGCUAUUAUUGGGCCUAAAGCGUCCGUAGCCGGGCCCGUAAGUCCCUGGCGAAAUCCCACGGCUCAACCGUGGGGCUUGCUGGGGAUACUGCGGGUCUUGGGACCGGGAGAGGCGGGGGGUACCCCUGGGAUAGGGGUGAAAUCCUAUAAUCCCAGGGGGACCGCCAGUGGCGAAGGCGCCCCGCUGGAACGGGUCCGACGGUGAGGGACGAAGGCCAGGGGAGCAAACCGGAUUAGAUACCCGGGUAGUCCUGGCUGUAAAGGAUGCGGGCUAGGUGUCGGGUGAGCCUCGAGCUCGCCCGGUGCCGUAGGGAAGCCGUUAAGCCCGCCGCCUGGGGAGUACGGCCGCAAGGCUGAAACUUAAAGGAAUUGGCGGGGGAG
This 794-nucleotide ribosomal RNA is filed under the name uncultured Thermococcus sp. RNAcentral describes it as "bacterial SSU rRNA". It matches the Rfam family "Archaeal small subunit ribosomal RNA", at positions 85 to 876 of the family's 1478-position model. The record is from RNAcentral. Lineage: Archaea; Methanobacteriati; Methanobacteriota; Thermococci; Thermococcales; Thermococcaceae.